Molecule: long non-coding RNA, 1229 nt
Organism: Dermochelys coriacea (leatherback sea turtle)
Lineage: Eukaryota; Metazoa; Chordata; Testudines; Dermochelyidae
Exons: 3
Source: RefSeq, a predicted model, not a curated record
AGAGAGAGAGAUCAACACUCAGAGAUCAUCCAGAGCUCUGAGAUAAUAAUAGAGAGCCCCUGAGAAAGCCAGCCCUGAUUACAGAAUGGGCCCCACCUGAGAGAAAUUAGGUGAUUCCAGGUUUAACUACUGAGUGGGCCCAGCUGAGGAAGGGCUGGAGGAAAGAGAAUGCAGGGAGUCAAAAGGUGCCUGCAGGGUCUUGAGUGAGCACCUAGGGAGCAGAUUGGGAGACCUAGAAGGGAAGUAAAGAGGGGAGGAAGGAAAUAAUGUAGGGAAAACUGCACUAUGGGUAGAGGAUUUGACAUAGCUGUGCAGUACAGGACCCUGGCCUGUAACCCAGAAUUGAGGUUGGGACUGGAUUCCCCUACCAGCCCCAAGGAAGUGGUGUACAAGGGUUGGUGAGCCCUGCGAGGGGGCUGCAGGCUGAAUGUGACCGUGCUGAAGAAGAGCUGUGGAGAGGGUAGAAGCUUUUUAUUUCUGUUAAGAGAAUUCUGAACUUUAGUUUUGAUAGCUGACCUUGGAAGGAACGGGCUAAAGACUGUGUCCUGGCUGGAGGGAUGAGUUCUCUGAAAGAAACCACCACAGCCCCAGAGUGACUGCUGACAAGAGCUGCUACCCACAAGGACGCUGUCAUGCUAUGUCUGGCCAUGAGGAAGUGCAGAGUGGUCUUUGGAAGACAUUUCAUACAAAACAAAAUCACAGAUUGCCUACUUGAAACUUUCUUUUUUGGAUGGGAUAAGUAUUGCUGGACCUCAAAGCAAAUCGUGCAGUGGGGAGACACUGCAGUGCAUUGAAUGUGGCUGCAUGAGCUGUUGCCAAGAUGAUGCUGUCAGGAGUUGUUCCAGGACCCUGGACCAGUUGAAGUUUCAUCUAGAUUGGACUGAUUGAGGAAGUACAGUGGAAGGUAAAGGCAUGUAUUACUGCAGCCAGGGCUUCAUCUGGGAUGGCCACAGGGGUUGUUUCCUGCUUCUGUUGUGCAUAGCUGGAAGUGUACAACACAACUUGUUUCUUUACUGAUUGUUUUCCGCUAAUUUAACAUACACGUGAUAACUUGUUGUAGGGAGUUCGGACAACUCACCAUGAUGGUGUCCCUUCUUGGCAUGCACUAUUUUAUUUAUAAAAGUGGAUAUUAUUAUUUCUGACCUUCUGGGAAGGACUAAUGGACAGGCAGAUCCUGAAGAGGUGGAGCCAUAUUUCAAAGCCAGUCAAUAAAUUACCUAUCUACUUUA